CAAUAGCGUAUAUUUAAGUUGUUGCAGUUAAAAAGCUCGUAGUUGGAUUUCGGAUGGGACUUGCCGGUCCGUCGUUUCGAUGUGCACUGGCCAGUCCUAUCUUGUUGUCGGGGACUAGCUCCUGGGCUUCACUGUCCGGGACUAGGAGCUGACGAGGUUACUUUGAGUAAAUUAGAGUGUUCAAAGCAAGCCUACGCUCUGAAUACAUUAGCAUGGAAUAACACGAUAGGACUCUGGCUUAUCUUGUUGGUCUGUGAGACCAGAGUAAUGAUUAAGAGGGACAGUCGGGGGCAUUCGUAUUUCAUUGUCAGAGGUGAAAUUCUUGGAUUUAUGAAAGACGAACUCCUGCGAAAGCAUUUGUCAAGGAUGUUUUCAUUAA
This 379-nucleotide ribosomal RNA is filed under the name uncultured eukaryote. RNAcentral's name for it is "partial 18S ribosomal RNA". It matches the Rfam family "Eukaryotic small subunit ribosomal RNA", at positions 592 to 976 of the family's 1831-position model. The record is from RNAcentral.